This 253-nucleotide ribosomal RNA is filed under the name uncultured bacterium. RNAcentral's name for it is "partial 16S ribosomal RNA". It matches the Rfam family "Bacterial small subunit ribosomal RNA", at positions 524 to 776 of the family's 1533-position model. The record is from RNAcentral.
UACAGAGGGUGCAAACGUUGUUCGGAUUUACUGGGCGUAAAGCGCGUGUAGGCUGCUUCGCAAGUCGGAUGUGAAAGCCCUGGGCUCAACCCAGGAAGUGCAUUCGAAACUGCAGAGCUGGAGUCCUGGAGAGGGAAGCGGAAUUCCCGGUGUAGUGGUGAAAUGCGUAGAUAUCGGGAGGAACACCAGUGGCGAAGGCGGCUUCCUGGCCUGUUCUUGACGCUGAGGCGCGAAAGCUAGGGGAGCAAACGGG